Molecule: ribosomal RNA, 667 nt
Filed under: Enterococcus hirae
Lineage: Bacteria; Bacillati; Bacillota; Bacilli; Lactobacillales; Enterococcaceae
Description: bacterial SSU rRNA
Rfam family: Bacterial small subunit ribosomal RNA
Source: RNAcentral
UCUGGUCUGUAACUGACGCUGAGGCUCGAAAGCGUGGGGAGCAAAACAGGAUUUAGAUACCUGGUAGUCCACGCCGUAAACGAUGAGUGCUAAGUGUGGGAGGGUUUUCCGCCCUUCAGUGCUGCAGCUAACGCAUUUAAGCACUCCGCCUGGGGAGUACGACCGCAAGGUUGAAACUCAAAGGAAUUGACGGGGGCCCGCACAAGCGGUGGAGCAUGUGGUUUAAUUUCGAAGCAACGCGAAGAACCUUACCAGGUCUUGACAUCCUUUGACCACUCUAGAGAUAGAGCUUCCCCUUCGGGGGCAAAGUGACAGGUGGUGCAUGGUUGUCGUCAGCUCGUGUCGUGAGAUGUUGGGUUAAGUCCCGCAACGAGCGCAACCCUUAUUGUUAGUUGCCAUCAUUUAGUUGGGCACUCUAGCAAGACUGCCGGUGACAAACCGGAGGAAGGUGGGGAUGACGUCAAAUCAUCAUGCCCCUUAUGACCUGGGCUACACACGUGCUACAAUGGGAAGUACAACGAGUCGCAAAGUCGCGAGGCUAAGCUAAUCUCUUAAAGCUUCUCUCAGUUCGGAUUGUAGGCUGCAACUCGCCUACAUGAAGCCGGAAUCGCUAGUAAUCGCGGAUCAGCACGCCGCGGUGAAUACGUUCCCGGGCCUUGUACACUCC